RNAcentral lists this ribosomal RNA (374 nucleotides) under uncultured organism. RNAcentral describes it as "partial 16S ribosomal RNA". It matches the Rfam family "Bacterial small subunit ribosomal RNA", at positions 527 to 896 of the family's 1533-position model. The record is from RNAcentral.
GUAGGUGGCAAGCGUUGUCCGGAAUUAUUGGGCGUAAAGCGCGCGCAGGCGGUUCUUUAAGUCUGAUGCGAAAGCCCACGGCUCAACCGUGGAGGGUCAUUGGAAACUGGAGAACUUGAGUACAGAAGAGGAAAGCGGAAUUCCACGUGUAGCGGUGAAAUGCGUAGAGAUGUGGAGGAACACCAGUGGCGAAGGCGGCUUUCUGGUCUGUAACUGACGCUGAGGCGCGAAAGCGUGGGGAGCAAACAGGGAUUAGAUACCCUGGUAGUCCACGCCGUAAACGAUGAGUGCUAAGUGUUAGGGGGGUUUCCGCCCCCUUAGUGCUGCAGCUAACGCAUUAAGCACUCCGCCUGGGGAGUACGGCCGCAAGGCUG